CCUACGGGCGGCAGCAGUGGGGAAUAUUGCACAAUGGGCGCAAGCCUGAUGCAGCCAUGCCGCGUGUGUGAAGAAGGCCUUCGGGUUGUAAAGCACUUUCAGCGGGGAGGAAGGCGUUAAGGUUAAUAACCUUGUCGAUUGACGUUACCCGCAGAAGAAGCACCGGCUAACUCCGUGCCAGCAGCCGCGGUAAUACGGAGGGUGCAAGCGUUAAUCGGAAUUACUGGGCGUAAAGCGCACGCAGGCGGUCUGUCAAGUCGGAUGGGAAAUCCCCGGGCUCAACCUGGGAACUGCAUUCGAAACUGGCAGGCUAGAGUCUUGUAGAGGGGGGUAGAAUUCCAGGUGUAGCGGUGAAAGGCGUAGAGAUCUGGAGGAAUACCGGUGGCGAAGGCGGCCCCCUGGACAAAGACUGACGCUCAGGUGCGAAAGCGUGGGGAGCAAACAGGAUUAGAUACCCGGGUAGUC
This 465-nucleotide ribosomal RNA is filed under the name uncultured Klebsiella sp. RNAcentral's name for it is "bacterial SSU rRNA". It matches the Rfam family "Bacterial small subunit ribosomal RNA", at positions 338 to 795 of the family's 1533-position model. Lineage: Bacteria; Pseudomonadati; Pseudomonadota; Gammaproteobacteria; Enterobacterales; Enterobacteriaceae. The record is from RNAcentral.